AGCCCAUCCUUCUUCAGGAGCCCACAGACUUCCUUGGCCCCUGGAGUGGUGAAAGAUUACUUCAAUGCAGAGGAAAAAUCCUUUCUGCGUCCAGGCAACUAAAGAAG
RNAcentral lists this long non-coding RNA (107 nucleotides) under Zonotrichia albicollis (white-throated sparrow). Its description in RNAcentral is "lncRNA (ENSZALG00000016984.1)". The record is from RNAcentral. Lineage: Eukaryota; Metazoa; Chordata; Aves; Passeriformes; Passerellidae.